UUAGAGUUUGAUCCUGGCUCAGGAUGAACGCUGGCGGCGUGCCUAAUACAUGCAAGUCGAACGAAUCUCUUUUAGAGAUGAGUGGCGAACGGGUGAGUAAUACAUAGGUAACCUGCCCCUGUGCGGGGGAUAACAGGAGGAAACUCCUGCUAAUACCGCAUAGCCAUGAGCACCGCAUGGAGCUCAUGCCAAAUAUCCUUUAUGGGAUAGCGCAGGGAUGGACCUAUGGCGCAUUAGCUGGUUGGCGGGGCAACGGCCCACCAAGGCAACGAUGCGUAGCCGGCCUGAGAGGGCGGACGGCCACAUUGGGACUGAGACACGGCCCAGACUCCUACGGGAGGCAGCAGUAGGGAAUUUUCGGCAAUGGGGGAAACCCUGACCGAGCAACGCCGCGUGAGCGAAGAAGGCCUUCGGGUCGUAAAGCUCUGUUGUAAAGGAAGAACGGCGCAUACAGGAAAUGGUAUGCGAGUGACGGUACUUUACCAGAAAGCCACGGCUAACUACGUGCCAGCAGCCGCGGUAAUACGUAGGUGGCGAGCGUUAUCCGGAAUCAUUGGGCGUAAAGAGGGAGCAGGCGGCCGCAAGGGUCUGUGGUGAAAGACCGAAGCUAAACUUCGGUAAGCCAUGGAAACCGGGCGGCUAGAGUGCGGAAGAGGAUCGUGGAAUUCCAUGUGUAGCGGUGAAAUGCGUAGAUAUAUGGAGGAACACCAGUGGCGAAGGCGACGGUCUGGGCCGCAACUGACGCUCAUUCCCGAAAGCGUGGGGAGCAAAUAGGAUUAGAUACCCUAGUAGUCCACGCCGUAAACGAUGGUCACUAAGUGUCGGGGGUCAAACCCCGGUGCUGCAGUCAACGCAAUAAGUGACCCGCCUGAGUAGUACGUUCGCAAGAAU
This 891-nucleotide ribosomal RNA is filed under the name uncultured bacterium. RNAcentral describes it as "bacterial SSU rRNA". It matches the Rfam family "Bacterial small subunit ribosomal RNA", at positions 1 to 895 of the family's 1533-position model. The record is from RNAcentral.